Molecule: non-coding RNA, 277 nt
Organism: Numida meleagris (helmeted guineafowl)
Lineage: Eukaryota; Metazoa; Chordata; Aves; Galliformes; Numididae
Source: the annotation of a RefSeq genome assembly
AUGGUGGUGAAAUCCCUCCAGACGCCCGGAGGAGGGAUCACCCUCGUCUGCAAGGCCUCCGGCUUCACCUUCAGCAGUUACCCCAUGUACUGGGUGCGACAGGCGCCCGGCAAGGGGCUGGAGUGGGUCGCGGGUAUUUGGAGCACUGGUAGUAACACAUACUACGCGUCGGCGGUGAAGGGCCGUGCCACCAUCUCGAGGGACAACGGGCAGAGCACAGUGCGGCUGCAGCUGAACAGCCUCAAGGCCGAAGACACCGCCACCUACUACUGCGCGA